RNAcentral lists this ribosomal RNA (253 nucleotides) under uncultured bacterium. RNAcentral describes it as "partial 16S ribosomal RNA". It matches the Rfam family "Bacterial small subunit ribosomal RNA", at positions 524 to 776 of the family's 1533-position model. The record is from RNAcentral.
UACGUAGGGUGCAAGCGUUGUCCGGAAUUAUUGGGCGUAAAGAGCUCGUAGGCGGUUUGUUGCGUCGGCUGUGAAAUCCCGAGGCUCAACCUCGGGUCUGCAGUCGAUACGAGCAAACUAGAGUGUUGCAGGGGAGACUGGAAUUCCUGGUGUAGCGGUGAAAUGCGCAGAUAUCAGGAGGAACACCUAUGGCGAAGGCAGCUCUCUGGGACGGUACUGACGCUGAGACGCGAAAGCGUGGGGAGCGAACAGG